Molecule: unclassified non-coding RNA, 350 nt
Filed under: soil metagenome
Description: partial contains 5.8S ribosomal RNA, internal transcribed spacer 2, and large subunit ribosomal RNA
Rfam family: 5.8S ribosomal RNA (bases 1-120)
Source: RNAcentral
GAUGAAGAACGUAGUGAAAUGCGAUAAGUAAUGUGAAUUGCAGAAUUCAGUGAAUCAUCGAAUCUUUGAACGCACAUUGUGCCCGCCAGUAUUCUGGCGGGCAUGCCUGUUCGAGCGUCAUUUCAACCCUCAAGCCCAGCUUGGUGUUGGGGAUCGGCACAGGCGCCCUCGGGCGCCCGCCGUCCCCUAAAUCUAGUGGCGGUCCCGCUGCAGCCUCCUCUGCGUAGUAGUUUUCUCCUCGCAAGGGCAGCUCGGUGGCGACCUCGCCGUAAAACCCCCAACUUCUGAAAGGUUGACCUCGAAUCAGGUAGGAAUACCCGCUGAACUUAAGCAUAUCAAUAAGCGGAGGA